Molecule: non-coding RNA, 411 nt
Organism: Equus caballus (horse)
Lineage: Eukaryota; Metazoa; Chordata; Mammalia; Perissodactyla; Equidae
Source: RefSeq, a predicted model, not a curated record
AGGGUGGGGGAGGGGACAUGAAGAGGGUGUGCCCAUGGCCCCUUCCCCCCACCAGCCCAGCUGAUCUCUCCAUCCAUCCUGGGCCCUCCAGUUUAUGCCUCUUAUUUGCUGACUUUACAUGGUGACAGAAGUGGGAUCCCUAGCUACUGACCUUCAAUUCUGGUGCCACUUCACAGACACAAGCAAGGUGCCUGCAAAGAAUCUUUUGUGCUCUGUCGUCUCCUCCUGGUGGCUCUGGUUCCUGGUGAUUGGUUGCAGACAAUGAUACAGGCAUCAGGAAUUGCAGAGCCAAGAGACGGGAAUUCAUGGGUGACUGACACACCCUGUGGAAGAGAACCACCUGCCCAACGCGAAACCCACCUUGGCCUGUAAGGUAAUCACACAUAAAUUUCUACUCUCUGGUUAUUCUUU